RNAcentral lists this unclassified non-coding RNA (328 nucleotides) under soil metagenome. RNAcentral describes it as "partial contains 5.8S ribosomal RNA, internal transcribed spacer 2, and large subunit ribosomal RNA". The stretch from base 1 to 120 matches the Rfam family "5.8S ribosomal RNA", at positions 35 to 154 of the family's 154-position model. The record is from RNAcentral.
GAUGAAGAACGUAGCGAAAUGCGAUAAGUAAUGUGAAUUGCAGAAUUCAGUGAAUCAUCGAAUCUUUGAACGCACAUUGCGCCCCUUGGUAUUCCGAGGGGCAUGCCCGUUCGAGCGUCAUUAUACCCCUCAAGCCUAGCUUGGUGUUGGGGCCUGCUGUUACCGGCAGCCCUUAAAAUCAGUGGCGGUGCCAUCUGGCUCUAAGCGUAGUAAUACUUCUCGCUACAGGGUCCCGGUGGAUGCUUGCUAUCAACCCCUAAUUUUCUAUGGUUGACCUCGGAUCGGGUAGGGAUACCCGCUGAACUUAAGCAUAUCAAUAAGCGGAGGA